This 78-nucleotide transfer RNA is filed under the name Bacilli bacterium. RNAcentral describes it as "tRNA-Arg". It matches the Rfam family "tRNA". Rfam says of the family: Transfer RNA (tRNA) molecules are approximately 80 nucleotides in length. Their secondary structure includes four short double-helical elements and three loops (D, anti-codon, and T loops). The record is from RNAcentral. Lineage: Bacteria; Bacillati; Bacillota; Bacilli.
GCGCCUGUAGCUCAGUCUGGAUAGAGCAACCCCCUCCUAAGGGGUAGGUCGAACGUUCAAAUCGUUUCAGGCGCGCCA